Molecule: unclassified non-coding RNA, 2028 nt
Filed under: Leishmania donovani
Lineage: Eukaryota; Euglenozoa; Kinetoplastea; Trypanosomatida; Trypanosomatidae
Description: gene:LdHU3.26.1350(CDS-product:hypothetical_prote in_conserved)
Source: RNAcentral
CUGUUUGUUUGUGGGCACUCGUAGCACGCCCGCCACAAGGUACGUACAUCCGCAACGGGAAAGCGCGAGAGACUUGUCGGAUCACGCUCCGACUCCUCCUCCCCCCUCUCUGUACAAAGGCACCACAUGCGCAGCAGCUGCAGCACAUCAAGGCAUGCCCGCGUCUUUCAGACGUCGACUUGGCCGAUAGUGACACACGCGCCGAUGCCGCUUCGUCUCAGAGUGGGACAGCUGCUUGUGUGCGCCACGGCGGAGGCGAGGAGGUGCGUAUCGACUACCUCAUCAUCAUCUUCUGUGAGACCUUUCGCGGAACACCUUGUCGCAGAAAAGACGCGCCUGAUGGCGGAGAGGGCUAACGCGCGUGCGGACAACGUGAGCCGUCUGCGAGCGCUCUUGCAGUCAUGCCCGGCCCACGAGCGCCGGAAACUGUUUCCGAAGCCCCAUCCUCACCCCCGCCGCGACGUGUGGCCGCCCGCCACACCGGUCGAUCCACCGUCGCGGUACCCCAGCGCCAGCGCACGGAUCAAGAAGUCAGCCGCAUCGGACACGUAUCGCUUCCGUAGCAGUGCAGUGAUAGAGUCGGUCCAGCAGGGUGCCAGUCGUCGUGCAGCCGCUGACACACAAGACGCCACUGACGAGUGCAGUGCGAAAGGGCCGCAGGAGAAGGGUUACUAUGACUCGCCAUGCUGGUACAGCGCACCACCUGGGACGUGGAUGGAUGCUACGUACUUUAUUGCCCACCAGAGCAACCGCUGGAAUUCACUCUUCCAUGACCUGUAUUACAUCCGUAACGAACCAACGGCGCCUCUGCUGCGUUGCCCAGCGUGUGUGGGGCAGCGACUACGCGACGGCGUGGCGGCACAGCCUCGGUCAGAGUCCGCCAGCUUGUCUGCGCCUUGUGCAGCCGCGGAGGUUCCGCCGGCGUCAUCGUCGUCGCCGCUUUGGAUGGCUCCGGCGGAGCUGCAUCGGCAUCUGAGUUUCAUCCACGCCGGCGAGCUUUUCACGCCACACGAGCUCAAGUUGUACAACGCACAGGUGCUUCAUGAGCUGCGGUACAGCUGCGGUCUUGCGCCGGCUCCCACGCCUGCUGACGGUGAAAUCGGCACCGGCGUAGCGCCGGGUGUACGUAAGACGCAGCCUGCUCGCGUCAUCCUCGUCGCUGACGUAGCCAACGUCGAGCUCGGUUCCCCCAGUGAGCUGCUGGAGAUGCUUCUCUCACCGAAGCUGCUGCGCGUCUUCUCCGACUUUCCUGUGGCUUUCUGCGCCACGCACGAGCUCUUCGUGCCCGUGAUCUCGAAGACGCUCCACACCCUGUACCAGCUGGCCCGCCUUCACCCAGCGUCUACCCUGCACGUCUUCUUUGCGAACACGUCCCUAGAAUCGGGCGAUCUGUUGACCUCCUCAUACCUGAACGAUCUCCUCCUCGCAAGCCCACGCUGCGCCGUUCCACCGGUGGUGUUGCUGACGGCUGACCUGCAGCAGCAGCGGGCCUUGCAGGAGGUGCACGGGGCACCGGCGCACGGUAUCGGCAAUGGCGGGCACGUACGCUGGGUGAAGCCUCUCACAGCAGCGCAGCUGGUGUUUGACCUGUACGCCGCCCUCGAGAGUUCGCAGUCCCUCAUGUGAGCUAGUACGGGGGCUGGAAAGCAAAUGGAGAGGGGAGAGCGGGCGGAGGGUGCGGGGGGUGCGCCAUCUCCGACUGCUGAACUGCGAAGACAGGUGAUGAAGUCCCCCCGGUGGAGGCCAGCGCACGCAUGCCACCUACUUGUCUGAGCAGCGGCACCGACUCCCGGUUCUCUUCUUCCGCCCUUGUGCGUCUCUGUAUGUGAGCAUCUCUCUCUUCCCGGCCAGAGUACCAUACUGCGAACUUCCACCCGCCCACCCACCCCGUCAUUCAGAGCCCCUCUCUCCCUCCACACGGCACCUCCACAGAAUCCCAUCGCCGCUGUCGACGUUGUUGCAUGCGUGGACUACGCGCUUUCUUCAGGGGGAUGCUCAACCCCGCUCUUCCCCCUCCCUGCCUCUCUG